UGCUACAAAAUUAUUACCAAUGAUUAAAUUAUAGUAUAUAUUAUAUAGAUUAUAGAUUAUUUAGUAUGGACUAUUUAGCUAAAUAGAGGACACAUAUUGGUACCAGUAGUUUGCUGAAAUGCUUAUCAUCUGUAAAGAUUUGAAAUACAAAUACAAAUUAAUACAUAACCCGUUGAAAUAUGGCUUCGAUUGUAAACAGUAAAUUAUGUUACGCGAUGCUUUAAAUCGCAAAAUCAGAAAAUAUU
This is a non-coding RNA of Paramuricea clavata, 245 nucleotides long. NCBI's taxonomy places the organism in Eukaryota, Metazoa, Cnidaria, Anthozoa, Malacalcyonacea, Plexauridae. The record is from the annotation of a GenBank genome assembly.